RNAcentral lists this ribosomal RNA (456 nucleotides) under uncultured bacterium. Its description in RNAcentral is "partial 16S ribosomal RNA". It matches the Rfam family "Bacterial small subunit ribosomal RNA", at positions 29 to 523 of the family's 1533-position model. The record is from RNAcentral.
AACGAACGCUGGCGGCAGGCCUAACACAUGCAAGUCGAACGCUGUAGCAGUACAGAGUGGCAGACGGGUGAGUAACGCGUGGGAACCUUCCCAAUGGUGCGGAAUAGCUCAGGGAAACUUGAGGUAAUACCGCAUAAGCCCUUAGGGGGAAAGAUUUAUCGCCAUUGGAUGGGCCCGCGUCGGAUUAGCUAGUUGGUGAGGUAAUGGCUCACCAAGGCAACGAUCCGUAGCUGGUUUGAGAGUAUGACCAGCCACACUGGGACUGAGACACGGCCCAGACUCCUACGGGAGGCAGCAGUGGGGAAUAUUGGACAAUGGGCGGAAGCCUGAUCCAGCAACGCCGCGUGAGGGAUGACGGCCUUCGGGUUGUAAACCUCUUUCAUCACCGACGAAGCCUUUGGGUGACGGUAGGUGGAGAAGAAGCACCGGCCAACUACGUGCCAGCAGCCGCAGUAA